GACGAACGCUGGCGGCGUGCUUAACACAUGCCAGUCGAACGGAAAGGCCCUGCUUUUGUGGGGUGCUCGAGUGGCGAACGGGUGAGUAACACGUGAGUAACCUGCCCUUGACUUUGGGAUAACUUCAGGAAACUGGGGCUAAUACCGUAUAGGAUCUCCUGCUGCAUGGUGGGGGUUGGAAAGUUUCGGCGGUUGGGGCUGGACUCGCGGCUUAUCAGCUUGUUGGUGGGGUAGUUGCUUACCAAGGCUUUGACGGGUAGCCGGCAUGAGAGGGUGACCGGCGACAUUGGGACUGAGAUACGGCCCAGAGUCGUACGGGAGGCAGCAGUGGGGAAUAUUGCACAAUGGGAGGAAGUCUGAUGCAGAAACGCCGCGUGCGGGAUGACGGCCUUCGGGUUGUAAAACGCUUUCGCCUGUGACGAAGCGUGAGUGACGGUAAUGGGUAAAGAAGCACCGGCUAACUACGUG
RNAcentral lists this ribosomal RNA (468 nucleotides) under uncultured bacterium. RNAcentral describes it as "partial 16S ribosomal RNA". It matches the Rfam family "Bacterial small subunit ribosomal RNA", at positions 28 to 507 of the family's 1533-position model. The record is from RNAcentral.